RNAcentral lists this long non-coding RNA (210 nucleotides) under Lathyrus oleraceus (garden pea). Its description in RNAcentral is "Pisum sativum (pea) long non-coding RNA (PSAT_LNC015521)". The record is from RNAcentral. Lineage: Eukaryota; Viridiplantae; Streptophyta; Magnoliopsida; Fabales; Fabaceae.
UUUUGUAUAAAAAAUGUCUGAAACGAAUAUAGUGUGGGGAUGAGAAAAGAAUUCAUUAAUUAUAUUUUUGUGUUUGACAAGAACUUCGGACUUGUGCCUACGUACCAACAUAAAAAUGAGGGAUCAAAACCUCGUAGUUUGUGGUAAUAAUUUCAAAGUAAGUAGAUUGCUUUUUAACAAAAUUUUAAGUUUAACAAAGGCACAAAAGGC